Thunnus maccoyii (southern bluefin tuna) is the source of this 2760-nucleotide long non-coding RNA. RefSeq lists it as uncharacterized. Lineage: Eukaryota; Metazoa; Chordata; Actinopteri; Scombriformes; Scombridae. The transcript has 4 exons. The record is from RefSeq and is a predicted model, not a curated record.
GUCACUUGUCAGACGAAGCCACUGCUGAAACACCUUGUCAGGGUCUCGCUACGCACUGCUGAUGCUGUGAAUAUAAUGGUUUUUAGAGUGGAUUUGCAGUAGAGCCCUACAGAUAAAUGGUAAGUUGUGACUGAGACUGACCAAGUAUAGACUUUGUAGGCUAGAAUGAGGAGUAUAGAUAGAGAGCAUACAUGGUAGACCACUAUCUACAGCUUUAGAGGAGUAUAUUACAAGGUUAGCUCAGAGGACACCAUUGGAAGUGUUGAGAUAAAAGAAAAAAUCGAGUUCUUUAAAACCUAGGUGUUAUUUCUGUGGGUUUGACAUCAUUCUUUUGGCUUAUGAUAAAAUUUAAUAGACCAACUUAAUUGUAGAGAUAAAUCUGAGGUAAUCACUUACCCGGUGCUUUGACUUCCAAAUCUAUGGUUAAGAUGAUUGGGUUACGGUGGACUGAUUUAAAGCUCCUGUGAGGAUUUUUUCCACUGUUUAUUUAGCAAACACGUGAACUUGCUGCUGUUAUUGUGUGGUACUUGGUAGACGUUGCACUUGUUGUAGGCUGUGUUGGGAAUUCAUCAAUAUGCUGCUGCUGUUGUUGUUGUUGUUUUGGUGAUGGGUGUUAUUUAUCUACAGACUGCUGUAUGGUACAGAAUUAAUUCCCGUUAAGGGCAAUAAAAUUGUCAAUCAAUCAAUAGCCUGUAGCAUGUAGCCCUCUAAAAAUUGCUACAAAUCUUGUCAACAACUGUCUUCUCUCCAAAACAAAUGCAGUCAUCCAUCUGAGAAAUGUUAUCACUAAUGUUUGCAAUAACUGCUAAACUCAGUCAAGAUUCAGAAAGUCCUUUUAGGGGCUUUAGACUUGUCUGAGGUUUUUGAUCUUUGCCCCGCUUCACCACUUUAAAGCUCUUUACUCAUAACCCUGUGUCUCUUCAGUGAAGCAGAUGAGAACAGUGUUGUCAUGACCGAUUAGGUAGGAAGCAAAAAAAACAGAAAUAAGACCAAAGUUGUGGAAGAAAAAAAAGAAAAGAAAAGAAAAGAUAUUUUAGCUGGUCAACUACUCUAUGAACAAGAUAAAAAUCCUCUCAGUCGUCCAUGCCAAUCUAUUAUAAUUUCUUGGUUUCAGAAGAAACACUGCAGGUAAUGUUCAAAUUAAAAAUACUUUGUAAAAAUACAAAGUGUUAAUUAAUGCAGUAUAGAGGAAGUGAUAUACUAAGGAGAAAGGCUAUGAAAUAGGUUGUUGCUCUCUAUACAUAUUGGAUUCAUCACCAGUUUGUUUUUUUUGUGGAGGUGUUUUUCAGCUUCUCAUCAAGUAAGUCAUGUGAUUCUUCAAGUGACUGGAGAGGAAGCUGAACAUCGAUAUCCUCCUCCUCAGGUGGGAACUGCAGCCUCCUUUCACUUCCUGCCUGUAGGGUUUGUACCAUGGCUGUUUGGUGCUGGAGCUGCACCUCACUCAGGGCUUCCAAUACAGCUUUUUCAAUAACUGUUUGAUAUAAAAGCAGUAAGAGAAUGGUAAGACAAAUUAAUAUUAUUAUGAUUAUACAGAAAUAUUCUAGGAAUCUUGCUGUCCCGUUAAAAACGUACGUAUGCAUUGAGCAGGAACUAACCACCCUGUUGGCCAGACCCUGGAUCUCGAGGAAGAUGCUGAAACUACAAAUCACGGUUUAGUGUAUCAGUGGUAUUUAAUACAGUUACAGACAGGAUUGCAAGGUUUUGGAGAUGAUUUUUGGCAACACUUUGUACCUUGAGUUUGGCUAAUGUUCCAUUUAUGUGUUAUUGAGUCCAGUUUUCGAAGCAGGAAAUGCACAUGAACGCCCUACCAAGUAUUGCAAACAAGUCUGAUAAAUUCGAUUUUUCCUAGUUGUAAUGUUUCAACACGGCUGUCCAAAGCCAGAGUCUUCUGUGAAAAGAAAUGAAAUUUGAUCUGAUAAAACCUCAGUGAACCACAGUUAAAAUUUUAAAAUGUGGUAGUCUCCAAAUGCCUCCCUCUCUGCUGUGGUUGUUUCUGUAAACCAGAGAAAAACCAACACUUGUUAUCUAAAGCAAACUUUGUGAUUAGCUUAAGAAGCUAACAACAACAAGGUUUGUGCUUCCAUUCCGAAGAACAUGAACCCAACUGGAUUUUUUACAUUUACCUUUUACAUUUAGCUUCCUGAACCACCCCAUGAAUCUGAUGUAUGUGAACGUGACAUAAUUUCAAGUUGGAGUUUCAGAUGGGGGUAAAAAGAGAAAUGGGUUGCAUUUUUUUAGGGUGUUCUCUGCCUUCAGGCUGCAUGAUGAAAGUUUUUAACACUUCUGUGCAGAUUAUCCCUUACUUGACUGCUGUUUACAUAUGAAUAGACAUAAUCUUUCUUAAAAUAUCAUAACUAAUACUUCAUUUGUGUGUGUGUAGCAAGAAGGGAGCAGUUGUUAAGUGGAGAGAAUGAUGAGAUGGAGAAUCAUGGAAAGGUUUAAUUUCUACCAUGUGUGAACAACUUGACCUUGGAUAAAAUAUCUGCCUGAUGUGACAAAACACAAAAGGACUUCAUUUCUACUAUGAACUAAUUGUGGUCUUACUCUGGUAGGUUGGACUGGGUGUGGAGAGUGCCUGCCUGUCUCAUAUUGGACUUGUAGUGGACUACCUAUUAAAACAGGUUGCCCUGGGUGUGGACCUUGCUCGCCUGUCUUGAGAUGGCUGUUAAUACAGAUUACCUGAUGUUUUGUCCACCUCCUCAUGUGGGGGCCAGGCAACCAUCCACCCACUCCUUGGUCACUGGACCGGUGGAUUUUUCC